UACGAAGGGUGCAAGCGUUAAUCUGAAUUACUGGGCGUAAAGCGUGCGUAGGCGGUUUCUUAAGUCUGCUGUGAAAGCCCCGGGCUCAACCUGGGAAUGGCGGUGGAUACUGAGAAGCUGGAGUACGGUAGAGGAAGGUGGAAUUCCCGGUGUAGCGGUGAAAUGCGUAGAGAUCGGGAGGAACAUCAGUGGCGAAGGCGGCCUUCUGGACCAGUACUGACGCUGAGGCACGAAAGCGUGGGGAGCAAACAGG
This 253-nucleotide ribosomal RNA is filed under the name uncultured bacterium. RNAcentral describes it as "partial 16S ribosomal RNA". It matches the Rfam family "Bacterial small subunit ribosomal RNA", at positions 524 to 776 of the family's 1533-position model. The record is from RNAcentral.